Molecule: ribosomal RNA, 244 nt
Filed under: uncultured bacterium
Lineage: Bacteria
Description: partial small subunit ribosomal RNA
Rfam family: Bacterial small subunit ribosomal RNA
Source: RNAcentral
AGAAUCAACGCUGGCGGCGUGCCUAACACAUGCAAGUCGAACGAGAAAGUGGAGCAAUCCAUGAGUAAAGUGGCGACCGGGUGAGUAACACGUGACUAACCUACCCUCGAGUGGGGAAUAACAUCGGGAAACCGAUGCUAAUACCGCAUAACAUCGCAAGAUCAAAGCAGAAAUGCGCUUGAGGAGGGGUCGCGGCUGAUUAGCUAGUUGGUAGGGUAAUGGCCUACCAAGGCUUAGAUCGGUA